RNAcentral lists this ribosomal RNA (428 nucleotides) under uncultured bacterium. RNAcentral's name for it is "SSU rRNA". It matches the Rfam family "Bacterial small subunit ribosomal RNA", at positions 369 to 808 of the family's 1533-position model. The record is from RNAcentral.
CANUGGAAGGAAACUCUGAUGCAGCGCACGCCNCGCUGAAGGAUGAAAGUAUUUCGGUAUGUAAACUUCUAUCAGCAGGGGAAGAAAAUGACGGUACCUGNACUAAGAAGCCCCGGCUAACUACGUGCCAGCAGCCGCGGUAAUACGUAGGGGGCAAGCGUUAUCCGGAUUUACUGGGUGUAAAGGGAGCGUAGACGGCACGGCAAGCCAGAUGUGAAAGCCCGGGGCUCAACCCCGGGACUGCAUUUGGAACUGCUGAGCUAGAGUGUCGGAGAGGCAAGUGGAAUUCCUAGUGUAGCGGUGAAAUGCGUAGAUAUUAGGAGGAACACCAGUGGCGAAGGCGGCUUGCUGGACUAUGACUGACGUUGAGGCUCGAAAGCGUGGGGAGCAAACAGGAUUAGAUACCCUGGUAGUCCAAGGGCGAAUUC